CAUUAACGAGUUGAACGGGGUUGUAGCUGGCCUUCACAGGCAUGUGCACGCCCUGCUCAUCCACUCUACACCUGUGCACUAUCUGUGGGUUUCGAGCGUCGUGUGGGCCUUCACUGGCUCGUGCGGUAAUCGGGCCUACGUUUAUUACAAACUCUUCAGUAUCAGAAUGUGUAUCGCGAUGUAACGCAUCUAUAUACAACUUUCAGCAACGGAUCUCUUGGCUCUCGCAUCGAUGAAGAACGCAGCGAAAUGCGAUAAGUAAUGUGAAUUGCAGAAUUCAGUGAAUCAUCGAAUCUUUGAACGCACCUUGCGCUCCUUGGUAUUCCGAGGAGCAUGCCUGUUUGAGUGUCGUGAAAUUCUCAACCCAUAAAUCCUUGUGGUUUACGGGCUUGGACUUGGAGGCUUUUGCUGGCUUUGCAGUCGGCUCCUCUCAAAUGCAUUAGCUCGAUUCCUUGCGGAUCGGCUCUCGGUGUGAUAAUUGUCUACGCCGUGACCGUGAAGCGUUUGGCGGGCUUCUAACCGUCUCUAUGAGACAGCUUCAUUGACAUCUGACCUCAAAUCAGGUAGGACUACCCGCUGAACUUAAGCAUAUCAAUAAGCGGAGGA
Molecule: ribosomal RNA, 606 nt
Filed under: Marasmius cladophyllus
Lineage: Eukaryota; Fungi; Basidiomycota; Agaricomycetes; Agaricales; Marasmiaceae
Description: eukaryotic LSU rRNA
Rfam family: 5.8S ribosomal RNA (bases 198-351)
Source: RNAcentral